Small nucleolar RNA from Kogia breviceps (pygmy sperm whale), 80 nucleotides. RefSeq annotates it as small nucleolar RNA U105B. The transcript has a single exon. The record is from RefSeq and is a predicted model, not a curated record. NCBI's taxonomy places the organism in Eukaryota, Metazoa, Chordata, Mammalia, Artiodactyla, Physeteridae.
CGCUCUGCGGCUGAUGUCAGCACUGCUGCUGAGCCUCUGUGAUUGCUUAGCCUCAAAGUACACGCUCUGACACGACCGGG